RNAcentral lists this ribosomal RNA (603 nucleotides) under uncultured Planctomycetota bacterium. RNAcentral's name for it is "bacterial SSU rRNA". It matches the Rfam family "Bacterial small subunit ribosomal RNA", at positions 9 to 630 of the family's 1533-position model. The record is from RNAcentral. Lineage: Bacteria; Pseudomonadati; Planctomycetota.
GAGUUUGAUUCUGGCUCAGAAUGAACGUUGGCGGCGUGGAUUAGGCAUGCAAGUCGAGCGAGAAGGUUUAGAAAGAUACUUCGGUUGAUUUCUAAACUGGACAGCGGCGAAAGGGAGAGUAACGCGUAAAUACGUACCCAAAUUAUAUGGAAUAGCGGGGGGAAACCGCCGGUAAUGCCGCAUGAUGUCUCCGGACCAAAGAUUUAUCGCCUUUGGAGCGGUUUGCGUACUAUUAGCUUGUUGGUGGGGUAAAGGCCUACCAAGGCGAUGAUGGUUAGCGGGCGUGAGAGCGUGGCCCGUCUCACUGGGACUGAGACACUGCCCAGACACCUACGGGUGGCUGCAGUCGAGAAUCUUCGGCAAUGGACGAAAGUCUGACCGAGCGACGCCGCGUGCGGGAUGAAGGCCUUCGGGUUGUAACCGCUGUCAGAGGGGAGCAAAUUUUGAGCGAUCCUCGAAGGAAGCACAAGGCUAAGUUCGUGGCCAGCAGCCGCGGUAUUCGAACUGGUGCAAACGUUAUUCGGAAUCCCUGGGCUUAAGGGUGCGUAGGCGCCUUGUAGGUCUGAUGUGAAUCCCACGGCUUCACCGUGGAACUGCGUUGGA